This 1034-nucleotide long non-coding RNA is filed under the name Fukomys damarensis (Damara mole-rat). RNAcentral describes it as "lncRNA (ENSFDAG00000031991.1)". Lineage: Eukaryota; Metazoa; Chordata; Mammalia; Rodentia; Bathyergidae. The record is from RNAcentral.
GUGUGCUGCUGUGACAAGUGGCCAGCACCCUGGGGCCUAACGAGACACAUUUCCUCUCUUGCAGUUUUGGAAGCCGGAGCACUGAGGCUGUCCGCGCCCCCUGCGCCCGCUCACUUCCUCUCUGAGCCGCACAACGCCCCCUCUCCUGCCAACGUCACAGCGGCUGGGCCGGCCGGGCGGGGCGCGACAGCAAUCCCAGCCCUCCGGAGGCCGAGGCAGGAGGACCCCAGGUUGGAACCUAGCCUGGGCGAAUUAGUGACGUAGAGAGAUCUUGUCUCACGAAAGAUAGGUACCGCGAAAAGAACAGGAAGAGGAGAAAGGGGAGGAAGAAGAAAGAAGGAUAUGGAAGAUGAGAAGGCAGCUGAGUGCAUGUAGGGUCCCUGAAUUCAGUAACCCAAGAAAAUAGCACAGCUCGAAUUCGUCCCUUAAUCACACCCACAGUCGCCGCCUCUUUCCUUACUUUUUCUUCUUUGUCCUACAGAAUAACACAAGGUCUCAGGGGUUCAGGUGUUGCUGUAAGGGUCACUGAGUCGCCUGCUGCAGGGAGCAGGGAACGGGCCACCUGGGCUGGGUGUGAGGCGAGGACGCACCAGGUGAUGAGUCAGCCAGGACCAGGAGCGCUGCUGUCAGAGGCCUUGGCAGGAAGCCACCGGUAGGCAGGGGCACCAGGGCCAAGGGCUCCUCGCAGGUGUGCCAUCCUCUUCUUGGGCAGGCUGCUCUGCACACCCGCGCGUGCCAGCCCCGUAUGGCUGUCAUCGGUGACCCGUGGUCCUCAGCCCCAGCCCCUCACCAAGCCCCACAUGUGCAAUCCACCCUCCCCACUCCGAGCUGCACUUUAGCACGGUGACCUCGGUGAGCACUGCAGCCUCUCUGUGCUUUCCUAACCACUCUGAAUUGGAAAGUUCAAGUUUCCCCCUAGGUUUUCAAGAGUUUUACAGCUUAAGGUCUCACAUUUAGAUAUGAACCUAUUUUGAGUUAAUUUUUUAAUAUGGUAAGGGUUCAAUUUUUGCACAUGGAUAUUCACUAUUUCUGAC